UACGAAGGGGGCUAGCGUUGUUCGGAGUUACUGGGCGUAAAGGGCGCGUAGGCGGCCGGUCAAGUCGGGUGUGAAAGCCUGUGGCUCAACCACAGAAUUGCCUUCGAUACUGUAGAGCUUGAGACCGGAAGAGGUAAGUGGAACUGCGAGUGUAGAGGUGAAAUUCGUAGAUAUUCGCAAGAACACCAGUGGCGAAGGCGGCUUACUGGUCCGGUUCUGACGCUGAGGCGCGAAAGCGUGGGGAGCAAACAGG
RNAcentral lists this ribosomal RNA (253 nucleotides) under uncultured bacterium. RNAcentral describes it as "partial 16S ribosomal RNA". It matches the Rfam family "Bacterial small subunit ribosomal RNA", at positions 524 to 776 of the family's 1533-position model. The record is from RNAcentral.